CUAGAUUUCCAUAUUGUGCAACAGCUGGGUGAAUGCCAGUCGCGUCCUGACCUGAGCUGGGUUUUGUUUGCAUUUCUCCUGCAAGUGAGUUUUUAUAACUUCCAUUUCUUCUAAUCUCAUGCUUCAGGAGCUGGCCGCUGGGAGAGAGAUCGCGUGAGGCAAGAAACUCCCUUAUGUAUGUGCUGGGAUUUCAAAACCCAGCAUGGAUGGUGCACUGGAGAGCAAAGCUGACUGGAGGUGACCCAGGAGAUGCCUUUAGUCUGAUCUGAGGAGGAAGGGAGCUGGAAAUCCGAUGUCCUUUGAAAGAGGAGCAUAACUCCCACUGGCCUUGUCCAUGGAGAUGGGGACACUGAGAUGACUGAGCACUGUUAUAACUCUGGGUGCUCCCCAUUUGAGUGUCCUGGCUGCUUGUUCCACCCUGUAGACAGUGACCUGGAGGGGUGCAGAGAAAUGGGAGAAGAGGAAGGACACCUUCUGAGGAGCAUCAUUUCAGAUCCAUGGGCUGUGCACCCAGUGUGUUUCUGAGGAGCUUCAUUCUCACCUACAGGUCAUAUUCAGGCACACAUAUCAUCCCUCCACUGCCCAGAGACCGUGCCAGAUGCCACCAGCUCCACCAAAGUGAAGGAGAGCCACUGGACUGCAGUGAACUUCCCCACAGCAGCAGGUGAGGAUGGAGGAACAACACUGUUGAAAAGGCCUGUGGACAUCCUGAGACUGGCAUGUCUGCAAAUUGGAGCAAGGAGACCUCCAAGUUGGAAUGGUUUCAUACAGGGAAUGGUUUGAAGUUCCUAUACCAGAAGUUUGGCAGAG
This 810-nucleotide long non-coding RNA is filed under the name Calidris pugnax (ruff). RNAcentral describes it as "lncRNA (ENSCPUG00000011542.1)". The record is from RNAcentral. Lineage: Eukaryota; Metazoa; Chordata; Aves; Charadriiformes; Scolopacidae.